RNAcentral lists this ribosomal RNA (501 nucleotides) under uncultured bacterium. Its description in RNAcentral is "bacterial SSU rRNA". It matches the Rfam family "Bacterial small subunit ribosomal RNA", at positions 24 to 518 of the family's 1533-position model. The record is from RNAcentral.
UCAGGAUGAACGCUAGCGACAGGCCUAACACAUGCAAGUCGAGGGGCAGCACAAGGAGCAAUCUGAGGUGGCGACCGGCGCACGGGUGAGUAACACGUAUGCAACCUGCCUGUAAGCGGGGAAUAACCCGUUGAAAGACGGACUAAUACCGCAUAAUACUAAAUUACUGCAUGGUAAUUUAUUUAAACAUUUAUGGCUUACAGAUGGGCAUGCGCAUGAUUAGCUAGUUGGAGAGGUAACGGCUCCCCAAGGCAACGAUCAUUAGGGGUUCUAAGAGGAAGGUCCCCCCACACUGGUACUGAGACACGGACCAGACUCCUACGGGAGGCAGCAGUGAGGAAUAUUGGUCAAUGGACGAGAGUCUGAACCAGCCAAGUCGCGUGCAGGAAGAAUUGUCCUAUGGAUUGUAAACUGCUUUUGCAGGGGAAUAAAGUGCAUCACGUGUGAUGUUUUGUAUGUACUCUGCGAAUAAGGAUCGGCUAACUCCGUGCCAGCCGCCGC